AUACUGCAGAGCUAGGGAGUGGGAGAGGUAGACGGUACUCGGGAGGAAGUGGUAAAAUGCUUUGAUCUCUCGAUGACCACCUGUGGCGAAGGCGGUCUACCAGAACACGUCCGACGGUGAGGGAUGAAAGCUGGGGGAGCAAACCGGAUUAGAUACCCGGGUAGUCCCAGCUGUAAACUAUGCAAACUCAGUGAUGCAUUGGCUUGUGGCCAAUGCAGUAUUGCAGGGAAGCCGUUAAGUUUGCCGCCUGGGAAGUACGUACGCAAGUAUGAAACUUAAAGGAAUUGGCGGGGGAGCACCACAAGGGGUGAAGCCUGCGGUUCAAUUGGAGUCAACGCCAGAAAUCUUACCCGGAGAGACAGCAGAAUGAAGGUCAAGCUGAAGACUUUACCAGACAAGCUGAGAGGUGGUGCAUGGCCGUCGCCAGCUCGUGCCGUGAGAUGUCCUGUUAAGUCAGGUAACGAGCGAGAUCCCUGCCUCUAGUUGCCACCAUUACUCUCAGGAGUAGUGGGGCGAAUUAGCGGGACCGCCGCAGUUAAUGCGGAGGAAGGAAGGGGCCACGGCAGGUCAGUAUGCCCCGAAACUCUGGGGCCACACGCGGGCUGCAAUGGUAAUGACAAUUGGUUCCAAAUCCGAAAGGAGGAGGUAAUCCCCAAACAUUACCACAGUUAUGACUGAGGGCUGCAACUCGCCCUCACGAAUAUGGAAUCCCUAGUAACUGCGUGUCAUUAUCGCGCGGUGAAUACGUCCCUGCUCCUUGCACACACCGCCCGU
RNAcentral lists this ribosomal RNA (774 nucleotides) under uncultured sediment archaeon. Its description in RNAcentral is "bacterial SSU rRNA". It matches the Rfam family "Archaeal small subunit ribosomal RNA", at positions 581 to 1353 of the family's 1478-position model. The record is from RNAcentral.